Molecule: ribosomal RNA, 433 nt
Filed under: uncultured Acidobacteriota bacterium
Lineage: Bacteria; Pseudomonadati; Acidobacteriota
Description: bacterial SSU rRNA
Rfam family: Bacterial small subunit ribosomal RNA
Source: RNAcentral
AACGCGAAGAACCUUACCUGGGCUCGAAAUGCAGAUGACAUCCGGUGAAAGCCGGCUCCCGCAAGGGCAUCUGUAUAGGUGCUGCAUGGCUGUCGUCAGCUCGUGUCGUGAGAUGUUGGGUUAAGUCCCGCAACGAGCGCAACCCUCGUCCUCUGUUGCCAUCAGGUCAAGCUGGGCACUCUGAGGAGACUGCCGGUGAUAAACCGGAGGAAGGUGGGGAUGACGUCAAGUCAGCAUGGCCUUUAUGUCCAGGGCCACACACGUGCUACAAUGGCGGAUACAAAGCGCUGCAAGCCCGCGAGGGUGAGCCAAUCGCAUAAAGUCCGUCUCAGUUCGGAUUGCAGGCUGCAACUCGCCUGCAUGAAGUUGGAAUCGCUAGUAAUCGCGGAUCAGCAUGCCGCGGUGAAUGCGUUCCCGGGCCUUGUACACACCG